UGCACGGUGGUGCAGUUGUUAGCACUGUUGCCUUGCACGAUGAAGGUCCUGGGUUCAAUUCUCGGCCGGGGGUCUUUCUGCAU
Ataeniobius toweri is the source of this 83-nucleotide non-coding RNA. The record is from the annotation of a GenBank genome assembly. NCBI's taxonomy places the organism in Eukaryota, Metazoa, Chordata, Actinopteri, Cyprinodontiformes, Goodeidae.